Long non-coding RNA from Balaenoptera acutorostrata (minke whale), 622 nucleotides. RefSeq lists it as uncharacterized. Lineage: Eukaryota; Metazoa; Chordata; Mammalia; Artiodactyla; Balaenopteridae. The record is from RefSeq and is a predicted model, not a curated record. The transcript is spliced from 4 exons.
CAGGGCUGGGAUGCAAGGACCAGGCAGGGAUGUCCCUCCUCUAGGACCAUGAUGGUGGAUUCUGAAGCAGAGAGCAUUGGAGGCCCUGGACGUUCCCAGGGGCACUCUGAAACCCCAACUCCACCCGGUCCCACCACCUCAGAAGAGCAAGGUGCCUGGCUGUGACUCUGGGACUUGCUGCAGUCAUCAUACUGUGAGCCGAAAGGGCAAAGCCCUCACGGAGGAGGGCAGAGGUUGGAUGGGAAGCUAGCUGCCAUGUUGCGAGUUGCCUACGGGGAGACGCAUGAGGCAAGGAGUUGACGUCCCCAACCAACAGCCAGCGAGGACUUGAGGGCUGCCGACAGCCACAUGAGUGAGUUCGGAGACGCGUUCUCUCCCUAUCGAGCCUUGAGAUGACUGCUGUCCCACUGACAACUUGAUUGCAGCCUUGUGAGUGAUCCUGAGACAAAGGCACCCACAAAAGUGCUCCCAGGUUCCUGAUCCACAGAAACUUUGAGAUAAUAAAUAUGUUUUGGGGGUAAUUUGUUAGACAGCAAUAGAUAACCAAAACACACUUAUGCAACAAAACAUUCAUGGUGGCUUAUCUCUGGUAGUGCGAUUAUGAGUGACCUGUAUUUUCUUC